UACGUAGGGUGCAAGCGUUAAUCGGAAUUACUGGGCGUAAAGCGUGCGCAGGCGGUUAUGUAAGACAGGUGUGAAAUCCCCGGGCUCAACCUGGGAAUUGCGAUGGAGACUGCAAGGCUAGAAUCUGGCAGAGGGGGGUAGAAUUCCACGUGUAGCAGUGAAAUGCGUAGAGAUGUGGAGGAACACCGAUGGCGAAGGCAGCCCCCUGGGUCAAGAUUGACGCUCAUGCACGAAAGGCGUGGGGAGCAAAC
RNAcentral lists this ribosomal RNA (251 nucleotides) under uncultured bacterium. Its description in RNAcentral is "partial 16S ribosomal RNA". It matches the Rfam family "Bacterial small subunit ribosomal RNA", at positions 524 to 773 of the family's 1533-position model. The record is from RNAcentral.